CCUACGGGAGGCAGCAGUGGGGAAUUGUUCGCAAUGGGCGCAAGCCUGACGACGCAACGCCGCGUGGAGGACGAAGAUCUUCGGGUCGUAAACUCCUGUCGAGUGGGAAGAACACCUUUCGGGUGAAUAACCCGAGAGGCUGACGGUACCACUAAAGGAAGCCCCGGCUAACUCCGUGCCAGCAGCCGCGGUAAU
RNAcentral lists this ribosomal RNA (195 nucleotides) under uncultured Acidobacteriaceae bacterium. Its description in RNAcentral is "partial 16S ribosomal RNA". It matches the Rfam family "Bacterial small subunit ribosomal RNA", at positions 338 to 524 of the family's 1533-position model. The record is from RNAcentral. Lineage: Bacteria; Pseudomonadati; Acidobacteriota; Terriglobia; Terriglobales; Acidobacteriaceae.